Fukomys damarensis (Damara mole-rat) is the source of this 105-nucleotide non-coding RNA. The record is from Rfam. NCBI's taxonomy places the organism in Eukaryota, Metazoa, Chordata, Mammalia, Rodentia, Bathyergidae.
GUGCUCUCUCUGGCAGCACAUACAAUAAGAUUGGAAUGAUACAGAGAAGAUUAGUGUGGCCACAUUGCAAAAAUACAGUGGGUGUUUAAAAAACAAAAAUUUAUU